This 607-nucleotide ribosomal RNA is filed under the name uncultured bacterium. RNAcentral's name for it is "bacterial SSU rRNA". The stretch from base 1 to 518 matches the Rfam family "Bacterial small subunit ribosomal RNA", at positions 338 to 873 of the family's 1533-position model. The record is from RNAcentral.
CCUACGGGAGGCAGCAGUGGGGAAUAUUGGACAAUGGGCGCAAGCCUGAUCCAGCAAUGCCGCGUGAGUGAUGAAGGCCUUAGGGUUGUAAAGCUCUUUUACCAGGGAUGAUAAUGACAGUACCUGGAGAAUAAGCUCCGGCUAACUCCGUGCCAGCAGCCGCGGUAAUACGGAGGGAGCUAGCGUUGUUCGGAAUUACUGGGCGUAAAGCGUACGUAGGCGGUUAUUCAAGUCAGAGGUGAAAGCCCGGGGCUCAACCCCGGAACUGCCUUUGAAACUAGGUAGCUAGAAUCUUGGAGAGGUCAGUGGAAUUCCGAGUGUAGAGGUGAAAUUCGUAGAUAUUCGGAAGAACACCAGUGGCGAAGGCGACUGACUGGACAAGUAUUGACGCUGAGGUACGAAAGCGUGGGGAGCAAACAGGAUUAGAUACCCUGGUAGUCCACGCCGUAAACGAUGAUAACUAGCUGUCCGGUCACUUGGUGACUGGGUGGCGCAGCUACGACAUUAAGUUAUCCGCCGUCGGGUAGGUACGGUCGCGAAGAAUUAAAACUUAAAAUAGUAAUUAGACGGCGUGAGACGUGCCGACGGACGACGACGAGGGAGUAGG